Cyprinus carpio (common carp) is the source of this 1817-nucleotide long non-coding RNA. Lineage: Eukaryota; Metazoa; Chordata; Actinopteri; Cypriniformes; Cyprinidae. The record is from Ensembl.
AAAUAUGAUUUUUAAAAAUUUAUUCUACCUAUACACCAAAAUAUUUUUAUUUCUUAACAUUUGUAUUUAUUUCUUAAUAAAAGCAAAACCCUCAUUUUAAUUUUCUGAUUCAAAAUUUUUUUAUUAAUAUUUUUUCAUGUUAUUUUUUUUUUAAUGUUUGUAAAUGUGCUUUUCUCUAAUAGUAAAUAAACACAUCUCUUUGUGUGAGCUGGUGUGGCUGAGUGGUCAGAGUGGUCAGAGUUCAUGGCAUAAGACCUCAACCCAAUGCAGGAGACAUGGGUUCAAAUCCCCACUCUGCUGCAAAUGGAGAAUCCUGUUUUUUCCCCAUUUUGCAGCCAAAAAAAAAAAAAAAAAAAUUCAAAAAGCUUUCUCUUUUUUUUGGUUUCUCUUCCUUUCUCAGGUCCGCCUCUCUUAUCUCCCCCUCUCUAUGGCCUUCCUCUCUCAUCCCCACCUCAGCCUUCAUCUCUUGGCCAUCUUACCGCCCCAGGUAAGAGCCCUGUGUCAUGGUUCAGAGGUUGCUGGAUCUCUGUAGUGUGUGAAAGAAGGUCUGCAUCCCCCCUGAGUCCCAGAGCGAUGUCCAGCAGCGGUUAUGCUUUCCAGCCUGAAAAAAAAAACAAACAAACAAAAAAAACAUUUGGUUUAAACAGCUGUUUAAUUUUUUUCCUUCCUCACCUACUUAGGUUACCAUCAUUUGCAAAGGAGUGACCUAUCAAAAAGAAAAUGAUGGUAACCUAUACACUAACUAGUAAACAGCACACAUUAAUCAUUACCUGUCCAUGAGCAGAUGUCCAUCAUUACAGCGAAUGUCUGUCCGCAUGUCCCAGAGCUCUGCUUCUGUUAACUGGGUGCUCAAACACAUCUGUAGGGUAAAGACAUACACAAUUAACCUCAUCUGUGAAGCCUUGGGUAAAAAAUCUGGGUGUUAUCUUUGAUGUCUAAAAUUUGACAAACAGAUAAAUUCAGUGGUUAAAUCCUGUUUCUUUCAGCUUUGACUACUAGCGAAGGUUAAACCCAUUCUUUCUAGUAGAAAUUUCGAAAAAGUAAUUCAUGCUUUUAAUACAUCUAGACUGGACUGCUGCAAUACGCUGUAUGUAUGUAGGGAUUAGUCAGUCAGCCCUAUCUCGCUUACAGAUAGUUCAAAAUGCAGCUGCUAGGCUUUUAACGUGCUCCAAAAAAACGGGAGCAUAUCACACCAGUUUUAUGUUCUCUACACUGGCUACCCGUGUGCUAUCGAGUUAAUUUUAAAAUUCUUCUUUUAGUGUUUAAAUCAUUAAAUAGUCUGGCCCCUACCUAUCUUUCUGACUUAUUGACUGAACAUCAGCCCCUCUUGUCUCUUCGGUCGUCCAACCAGAGAUUGUUCUGCAUCCCUAAGUUGAGGCUGAAAUGCAGGGGUGACUGCGCUUUCUCGGUAGCUGCCCCUAGAUUGUGGAAUGCCUUGCCCCUCUGUAUUAGAUCUGCACCUUCACUAUCUGAAAAAAAACAAACAAACAUUUGUUUUAACCAGCUGUUUAAUUUUUUUCCUUCCUCACCUACUUAGGUUACCAUCAUUUGCUUUUUAAAGGAGUAACCCAUCAAAAAGAAAAUGAUGGUAACCUAUACAUUAACUAGUAAUGUCAACAUAGAUUUAAAAACUUAAAUCUAUGUUGAAAACUUACCUUUUUGCCGUUUUGUAACUGAGAAUUUUCUACUUUAUGUUUUAUAGUAUUAUUUUGUUUUGUCUUAUUCAAAUGUUUUUAUUGUUGUUGUUCAGCACAUUGGUCAAUACAUGGUUGUGUUUAAUAGUGCUAUAUAAAUAAAAUUAUGGAUAAACUAUCUCA